RNAcentral lists this ribosomal RNA (375 nucleotides) under Arnoglossus laterna (scaldfish). Its description in RNAcentral is "partial small subunit ribosomal RNA". It matches the Rfam family "Bacterial small subunit ribosomal RNA", at positions 848 to 1392 of the family's 1533-position model. Lineage: Eukaryota; Metazoa; Chordata; Actinopteri; Pleuronectiformes; Bothidae. The record is from RNAcentral.
GAACUUAACCAUUUCAUUCCGCCCGGGAAUUACGGACACCAGUCUAAAAACCAAAGGACUUGGCGGUGCUUUAAACCCCCCUAGAGGAGCCUGUCCUAUAACCGAUGACCCCCGUUUAACCUCACCCUCCCUCGCUCGAUCCACCUAUAUACCGCCGCCGUCAGCUUACCCUGAGAAGGGAUAGAAGUAUGCAAAAUUGGCAAAGCCCCAAACGUCAGGUCGAGGUGUAGUGCAUGAGAGGGGAAGAGAUGGGCUACAUUUGCUAACCAGAAGCAAAUACGGAUGUAUUAUUGAAACCGAUACUGAAGGAGGAUUUAGUAGUAAGAGGGGAGCAGAGUGCCCCGCUGAAACCGGCCCUAAAGCGCGCACACACCG